UGUGGAGCUACAAUCUUUAUUUCCCCGCCCCCAUCCUCUGUUUCUCCAUAAAAAGCAUGUCUUUUAAUCUCAAUCGUUGUUUGAUUGCACACUGCACUGCUUCCUCACUUCAAAGAGAGCUGCAUACGGAAAUGAAGAAAGGCUGAAAAAAUGUGAGCGUAGGAACCGAGCCUCUUGUGGUGUACGGCACACUCUGAAAACACUCACACAAGUUGCACAAAGAUGAUUAAUCGUGCUCACAGUAAUCAACUGCGGCAAACGGUGUCGUCGGGGUUGGUUUACCAUAUCGUACAGUUGGAGAGAGAACCGUAAAGACUGGGUUUUGUAUGUGUACAACAAAAUUCCCCCAACACCCUCUUGAAACUCUCAUCUAUGAUUCAAUAUGAACGGAAUUUAAACAGCCUUCAAAAGUGAGUCAAUGAGCUGAACUACCAUUUCUUUUCUUGUAAAUUUGUGAAAACGUGAAAAAAAAAAAAAACUUUAUGUUUGGGGUCAGUAUACGUUUUAUGACAGACGUUUCUUAUGUUC
Long non-coding RNA from Cyprinus carpio (common carp), 528 nucleotides. RefSeq lists it as uncharacterized. NCBI's taxonomy places the organism in Eukaryota, Metazoa, Chordata, Actinopteri, Cypriniformes, Cyprinidae. The record is from RefSeq and is a predicted model, not a curated record.